RNAcentral lists this ribosomal RNA (490 nucleotides) under uncultured bacterium. RNAcentral describes it as "partial 16S ribosomal RNA". It matches the Rfam family "Bacterial small subunit ribosomal RNA", at positions 30 to 507 of the family's 1533-position model. The record is from RNAcentral.
AUUGAACGCUGGCGGCAUGCCUUACACAUGCAAGUCGAACGGCAGCAUGAUCUAGCUUGCUAGAUUGAUGGCGAGUGGCGAACGGGUGAGUAAUACAUCGGAACGUGCCCUGUAGUGGGGGAUAACUAGUCGAAAGAUUAGUUAAUACCGCAUACGACCUGAGGGUGAAAGUGGGGGACCGCAAGGCCUCAUGCUAUAGGAGCGGCCGAUGUCUGAUUAGCUAGUUGGUGAGGUAAAGGCUCACCAAGGCGACGAUCAGUAGCUGGUCUGAGAGGACGAUCAGCCACACUGGGACUGAGACACGGCCCAGACUCCUACGGGAGGCAGCAGUGGGGAAUUUUGGACAAUGGGCGAAAGCCUGAUCCAGCAAUGCCGCGUGUGUGAAGAAGGCCUUCGGGUUGUAAAGCACUUUUGUCCGGAAAGAAAUGGCUCUGGUUAAUACCUGGGGUCGAUGACGGUACCGGAAGAAUAAGGACCGGCUAACUACGUG